CCAGCAUCUCCUCAACUGAAAAACGUCUUAUAGGUUGAUUGUGCAGCAGUUUAUUAAGACCAAGAUUUACGCUUUUUUGUUAGGCUGCAGCCCUUUAGUGGCCCUCAGGAGGAAGUCAGGUGACAAAGUAUAAAGAGCAAACAAUUCAAGAUGGUAAACGAUGGGUCAAACGAAGGACUUUCACCCAGGAGACCAGAGAUCACGUCAAAUGUGAAACCAAAAAUUUGUUACUGAUCUGAACAAGAAUGGAGACUCCUGGAUUAGUCUACAGGCCACAGAAAAACGGACACCAACAGGAUGGAUACGGGAAUGGGAGUGGGUGGACAGCUCGCCACUGACAGAAACGUUCUGGGCCG
Long non-coding RNA from Micropterus dolomieu (smallmouth bass), 356 nucleotides. RefSeq lists it as uncharacterized. The record is from RefSeq and is a predicted model, not a curated record. The transcript is spliced from 3 exons. NCBI's taxonomy places the organism in Eukaryota, Metazoa, Chordata, Actinopteri, Centrarchiformes, Centrarchidae.